GAUGAAUGCUGGCGGCGUGCCUAACACAUGCAAGUCGAGCGGUACGCGGGUAGUUUACUAUCUGGCGACGAGCGGCGGACGGCUGAGUAACGCGUGGGAACAUACCCCAAAGUGAGGGAUAACUGCCCGAAAGGGUGGCUAAUACCGCAUAUGGUCUUCGGAUUAAAGGAUUUAUCCGCUUUGGGAAUGGCCUGCGUAUGAUUAGAUAGUUGGUGAGGUAAUGGCUCACCAAGUCGACGAUCAUUAGCUGGUCUGAGAGGAUGACCAGCCAGACUGGAACUGAGACACGGUCCAGACUCCUACGGGAGGCAGCAGUGAGGAAUCUUCCACAAUGGGCGAAAGCCUGAUGGAGCAACGCCGCGUGCAGGAUGAAGGCCUUCGGGUCGUAAACUGCUUUUAUGAGUGAAGAAUAUGACGGUAACUCAUGAAUAAGCACCGGCUAACUACGUGCCAGCCGCCGCGGUAA
This 466-nucleotide ribosomal RNA is filed under the name uncultured bacterium. Its description in RNAcentral is "partial 16S ribosomal RNA". It matches the Rfam family "Bacterial small subunit ribosomal RNA", at positions 28 to 523 of the family's 1533-position model. The record is from RNAcentral.